GAUGAACGCCGGCGGCGUGCUUAACACAUGCAAGUCGAGCGAGUGAGUUCUUCGGAACGAUCUAGCGGCGGACGGGUGAGUAACACGUGGGCAACCUGCCUCAUAGAGGGGAUUAGCCUCCCGAAAGGGAGAUUAAUACCGCAUAACAUCGUUGUAGGGCAUCCUUCGAUGAUCAAAGGAGCAAUCCGCUAUGAGAUGGGCCCGCGGCGCAUUAGCUAGUUGGUGAGGUAACGGCUCACCAAGGCGACGAUGCGUAGCCGACCUGAGAGGGUGAUCGGCCACAUUGGGACUGAGACCCGGCCCAGACUCCUACGGGAGGCAGCAGUGGGGAAUAUAGCACAAUGGGGGAAACCCUGAUGCAGCAACGCCGCGUGAGUGAUGACGGCCUUCGGGUUGUAAAGCUCUGUCUUUGGGGACGAUAAUGACGGUACCCAAGGAGGAAGUCACGGCUAACUACGUGCCAGCAGCCGCCGUAA
Molecule: ribosomal RNA, 476 nt
Filed under: uncultured bacterium
Lineage: Bacteria
Description: partial 16S ribosomal RNA
Rfam family: Bacterial small subunit ribosomal RNA
Source: RNAcentral